AAUGACUCUCGGCAACGGAUAUCUCGGCUCUCGCAUCUAUGAAGAACGUAGCGAAAUGCGAUACUUGGUGUGAAUUGCAGAAUCCCGUGAACCAUCGAGUCUUUGAACGCAAGUUGCGCCCGAAGCCUUUUGGCCGAGGGCACGUUUGCCUGGGCGU
Molecule: ribosomal RNA, 157 nt
Filed under: Armeria villosa subsp. bernisii
Lineage: Eukaryota; Viridiplantae; Streptophyta; Magnoliopsida; Caryophyllales; Plumbaginaceae
Description: 5.8S ribosomal RNA
Rfam family: 5.8S ribosomal RNA
About the family: 5.8S ribosomal RNA (5.8S rRNA) is a component of the large subunit of the eukaryotic ribosome. It is transcribed by RNA polymerase I as part of the 45S precursor that also contains 18S and 28S rRNA.
Source: RNAcentral